Molecule: transfer RNA, 72 nt
Filed under: Perkinsus olseni
Lineage: Eukaryota; Perkinsozoa; Perkinsida; Perkinsidae
Description: tRNA-Pro
Rfam family: tRNA
About the family: Transfer RNA (tRNA) molecules are approximately 80 nucleotides in length. Their secondary structure includes four short double-helical elements and three loops (D, anti-codon, and T loops).
Source: RNAcentral
GGCUGUGUGGUCUAGUGGUAUAAUUCUCUCUUAGGGUGCGAGAGGUCCCGAGUUCAAUUCACGGCACAGCCC